AUGUGCUGUCCUGGUUGCUAGGUGCAGAUUUAGGUUCCAAGCAGAACACUCCUAGUGUUCUCUGCAGUUUGUUGCAGAAUCAGAAUGUCUUGGCAACCAAAGGCAGAUCUGGUGCUAUGGAGGACCUGCUUACUGCUAUGAGGUGUUACUUUAUACAGGUCCUGGAGAAGCUGAUUGAGGCCAAGUCACUGUUGCAAGGAGACACGAGACUCACAUCAGAGUUCUAUGGCUUAACAUGGGAGAUGGUGGAAACAGAGAAACACUUCACCAUGAAAACAGAUGAACUAAGGGACUGAGCCAGUGCCACUGAAAAAACUAUGGAAAUAGUCACUUUGGAAAUAAGGAGAUACAAUGGGUAAGAUAUAUAGCUGCACAUUUAACUGACAAGUGAGAUGACAAACUUUCUACAUAC
RNAcentral lists this long non-coding RNA (412 nucleotides) under Papio anubis (olive baboon). Its description in RNAcentral is "lncRNA (ENSPANG00000041007.1)". The record is from RNAcentral. Lineage: Eukaryota; Metazoa; Chordata; Mammalia; Primates; Cercopithecidae.